RNAcentral lists this ribosomal RNA (253 nucleotides) under uncultured bacterium. RNAcentral's name for it is "partial 16S ribosomal RNA". It matches the Rfam family "Bacterial small subunit ribosomal RNA", at positions 524 to 776 of the family's 1533-position model. The record is from RNAcentral.
UACGGAGGUGGCAAGCGUUGCUCGGAAUCACUGGGCGUAAAGGGCGCGUAGGCGGGGAGGUAAGUCGGGUGUGAAAUCCCUCGGCCCAACCGAGGAACUGCGCCCGAGACUGCUUCUCUUGAGUCCCGGAGAGGAAGAUGGAAUUCCCAGUGUAGAGGUGAAAUUCGUAGAUAUUGGGAAGAACACCAGUGGCGAAGGCGGCUAACUGGUCCAGUACUGACGCUGAGGUGCGAAAGCGUGGGGAGCAAACAGG